GAUGAACGCUGGCGGCGUGCCUAAUACAUGCAAGUCGAGCGAACAGACGAGGAGCUUGCUCCUCUGACGUUAGCGGCGGACGGGUGAGUAACACGUGGAUAACCUACCUAUAAGACUGGGAUAACUUCGGGAAACCGGAUCUAAUACCGGAUAAUAUAUUGAACCGCAUGGUUCAAUAGUGAAAGACGGUUUUGCUGUCACUUAUUGAUGGAUCCGCGCCGCAUUAGCUAGUUGGUAAGGUAACGGCUUACCAAGGCAACGAUGCGUAGCCGACCUGAGAGGGUGAUCGGCCACACUGGAACUGAGACACGGUCCAGACUCCUACGGGAGGCAGCAGUGGGGAAUCUUGCGCAAUGGGCGAAAGCCUGACGGAGCAACGCCGCGUGAGUGAUGAAGGUCUUCGGAUCGUAAAGCUCUGUUAUUAGGGAAGAACAAAUGUGUAAGUAACUAUGCACGUCUUGACGGUACCUAAUCAGAAAGCCACGGCUAACUACGUG
This 497-nucleotide ribosomal RNA is filed under the name uncultured bacterium. Its description in RNAcentral is "partial 16S ribosomal RNA". It matches the Rfam family "Bacterial small subunit ribosomal RNA", at positions 28 to 507 of the family's 1533-position model. The record is from RNAcentral.